GUGGGGAAUCUUGCGCAAUGGGCGAAAGCCUGACGCAGCCAUGCCGCGUGAAUGAUGAAGGUCUUAGGAUUGUAAAAUUCUUUCACCGGGGACGAUAAUGACGGUACCCGGAGAAGAAGCCCCGGCUAACUUCGUGCCAGCAGCCGCGGUAAUACGAAGGGGGCUAGCGUUGCUCGGAAUUACUGGGCGUAAAGGGCGCGUAGGCGGACAGUUUAGUCAGAGGUGAAAGCCCAGGGCUCAACCUUGGAAUUGCCUUUGAUACUGGCUGUCUUGAGUACGGGAGAGGUGAGUGGAACUCCGAGUGUAGAGGUGAAAUUCGUAGAUAUUUGGAAGAACACCAGUGGCGAAGGCGACUCACUGGCCCGUUACUGACGCUGAGGCGCGAAAGCGUGGGGAGCAAACAGGAUUAGAAACCCCAGUAGUCC
RNAcentral lists this ribosomal RNA (425 nucleotides) under uncultured bacterium. RNAcentral's name for it is "partial 16S ribosomal RNA". It matches the Rfam family "Bacterial small subunit ribosomal RNA", at positions 354 to 796 of the family's 1533-position model. The record is from RNAcentral.